UGUAGCUGUGAGAAACUCUGAGAACUGCCACUCUUGUAGAGGUGCUGAAAUUCACCAGAACUGUCCAGUCUGGCUACAGAGUCCUGACAGAGAAUAAGCA
Chelonoidis abingdonii (Abingdon island giant tortoise) is the source of this 100-nucleotide non-coding RNA. The record is from RefSeq and is a predicted model, not a curated record. Lineage: Eukaryota; Metazoa; Chordata; Testudines; Testudinidae.